CCCCCACAGGCACUUCCUACAGGAGCAGCUUCCAAGCCGAGUUCCUGGCGGGCACUGUCCCCCAACAGCAAGCUGGAACAAAGGCCGCAUGACUGAGUGCGCCCGUGCCUGUCAGGGCGCGGGGAAGAAAUCAGAGCUCCAUAGCCAGCCUGGCCUGGAGGGAAAGGCAAGCCGAGGCCUUGCUCCUGUAACUGCCAAACCGUCCCCCCUCACGGCGGCCUGCCUUUUCCCAUGCUGGCCCGGGGUCUUCGUCCUCUUGGCCUGGAUUCAAAAGGGCAGUACAAGAAGUGGAAUCCUAAGAAUGGUAUCCCUGAGCUCCAGCCUAUGGAAUGAAACAAUGACAUCUGUUUAUCAGUACCUUGGUUUUCAAGUUCAAAAAAUUUACCCUGUCCAUGAUAACUGGAACACUGCCUGCUUUGUCAUUCUGCUUUUAUUUAUGUUUACAGUAGUAUCGUUAGUGGUGCUGGCUUUCCUUUAUGAAGUGCUUGCCUGCUGCUGAAUUUUGUUUAGAGCAAGAUGAUCCUCCAUGUUCUAGCUUUGCUUUCUUCUUCUUCAAUGGUGAUAAUGUUGAUGCCUCAGAAGAUACUGAACGUUUUUCUACUACAGGAGUGGAAAGAGCUCGUUUUUCAAACAGCUCCCCUUCUCUCAAAAGGCUUGGAUUCAUAAUGUUUAUGCCAGUGGUUGGACCCUGUUCGGUCUCCACUUUCGGUCCUCGGGUAUCAGGGUUCUCUCCUGCGAGUCUUCCGUAGAUUAUUUAGGGAGUUUUUCUGUGUUUUAGUUGUAAUUCCAAUUUGU
Molecule: long non-coding RNA, 795 nt
Organism: Myotis brandtii (Brandt's bat)
Lineage: Eukaryota; Metazoa; Chordata; Mammalia; Chiroptera; Vespertilionidae
Exons: 3
Source: RefSeq, a predicted model, not a curated record